This 512-nucleotide ribosomal RNA is filed under the name uncultured bacterium. RNAcentral's name for it is "partial 16S ribosomal RNA". It matches the Rfam family "Bacterial small subunit ribosomal RNA", at positions 28 to 507 of the family's 1533-position model. The record is from RNAcentral.
GAUGAACGCUGGCGGCGUGCCUAAUACAUGCAAGUCGAACGAAACUUCUUUAUCACCGAGUGCUUGCACUCACCGAUAAAGAGUUGAGUGGCGAACGGGUGAGUAACACGUGGGCAACCUGCCCAAAAGAGGGGGAUAACACUUGGAAACAGGUGCUAAUACCGCAUAACCAUAGUUACCGCAUGGUAACUAUGUAAAAGGUGGCUAUACUACCGCUUUUGGAUGGGCCCGCGGCGCAUUAGCUAGUUGGUAGGGUAAAGGCUUACCAAGGCAAUGAUGCGUAGCCGAAUUGAGAGGUUGAUCGGCCACAUUGGGACUGGGACACGGCCCAAACUCCUACGGGAGGCAGCAGUAGGGAAUCUUCCACAAUGGGCGAAAGCCUGAUGGAGCAACGCCGCGUGGGUGAAGAAGGUCUUCGGAUCGUAAAACCCUGUUGUUAGAGAAGAAAGUGCGUGAGAGUAACUGUUCACGUUUCGACGGUAUCUAACCAGAAAGCCACGGCUAACUACGUG